GAUGAACGCUGGCGGCGUGCCUAAUACAUGCAAGUCGAGCGAACGGACGAGAAGCUUGCUUCUCUGAUGUUAGCGGCGGACGGGUGAGUAACACGUGGAUAACCUACCUAUAAGACUGGGAUAACUUCGGGAAACCGGAGCUAAUACCGGAUAAUCUUUUGAACCGCAUGGUUCAAAAGUGAAAGACGGUCUUACUGUCACUUAUAGAUGGAUCCGCGCUGCAUUAGCUAGUUGGUAAGGUAACGGCUUACCAAGGCAACGAUGCAUAGCAGACCUGAGAGGGUGAUCGGCCACACUGGAACUGAGACACGGUCCAGACUCCUACGGGAGGCAGCAGUAGGGAAUCUUCCGCAAUGGGCGAAAGCCUGACGGAGCAACGCCGCGUGAGUGAUGAAGGUCUUCGGAUCGUAAAACUCUGUUAUUAGGGAAGAACAUAUGUGUAAGUAACUGUGCACAUCUUGACGGUACCUAAUCAGAAAGCCACGGCUAACUACGUG
RNAcentral lists this ribosomal RNA (497 nucleotides) under uncultured bacterium. Its description in RNAcentral is "partial 16S ribosomal RNA". It matches the Rfam family "Bacterial small subunit ribosomal RNA", at positions 28 to 507 of the family's 1533-position model. The record is from RNAcentral.